GAGGGUAUUGCGAGUAACGUGCU
RNAcentral lists this non-coding RNA (23 nucleotides) under Arabidopsis thaliana (thale cress). The record is from RNAcentral. Lineage: Eukaryota; Viridiplantae; Streptophyta; Magnoliopsida; Brassicales; Brassicaceae.